RNAcentral lists this ribosomal RNA (249 nucleotides) under uncultured Gaiellaceae bacterium. RNAcentral describes it as "partial 16S ribosomal RNA". It matches the Rfam family "Bacterial small subunit ribosomal RNA", at positions 355 to 597 of the family's 1533-position model. The record is from RNAcentral. Lineage: Bacteria; Bacillati; Actinomycetota; Thermoleophilia; Gaiellales; Gaiellaceae.
UGGGGAAUCUUGCGCAAUGGGCGAAAGCCUGACGCAGCGACGCCGCGUGAGGGAAGAAGGCCUUCGGGUUGUAAACCUCUUUCAGGAGGGACGAAGCCACUCGGGUGAACAGCCCAGAGGGAGACGGUACUUCCAGAAGAAGCCCCGGCUAACUACGUGCCAGCAGCCGCGGUAAUACGUAGGGGGCGAGCGUUGUCCGGAUUUACUGGGCGUAAAGAGCGUGGAGGCGGCUACGCGGGUCCGUUGUGA